RNAcentral lists this ribosomal RNA (2034 nucleotides) under human gut metagenome. Its description in RNAcentral is "bacterial LSU rRNA". It matches the Rfam family "Bacterial large subunit ribosomal RNA", at positions 263 to 2317 of the family's 2925-position model. The record is from RNAcentral.
AAGAGGGCAAACCGAAGAGUUUACUCUUCGGGGUUGUAGGACUGCAACGUGGACUUAAAGAUUAUAGAAGAACUACCUGGGAAGGUAGGCCAAAGAGAGUAAUAGCCUCGUAUUCGAAAUAGUCUUUAUACCUAGCAGUAUCCUGAGUACGGCGAGACACGAGAAAUCUCGUCGGAAUCUGGGAGGACCAUCUCCCAACCCUAAAUACUCUCUAGUGACCGAUAGUGAACCAGUACCGUGAGGGAAAGGUGAAAAGCACCCCGGGAGGGGAGUGAAAUAGAACCUGAAACCGUGUGCCUACAACAAGUUCGAGCCCGUUAAUGGGUGAGAGCGUGCCUUUUGUAGAAUGAACCGGCGAGUUACGAUAUGAUGCGAGGUUAAGUUGAAGAGACGGAGCCGUAGGGAAACCGAGUCUUAAUAGGGCGCAUUAGUAUCAUGUCGUAGACCCGAAACCAUGUGACCUACCCAUGAGCAGGUUGAAGGUGAGGUAAAACUCACUGGAGGACCGAACCAGGGCACGUUGAAAAGUGCUUGGAUGACUUGUGGGUAGCGGAGAAAUUCCAAACGAACUUGGAGAUAGCUGGUUCUCUCCGAAAUAGCUUUAGGGCUAGCGUCGAUGUUAAGUCUCUUGGAGGUAGAGCACUGUUUGGGUGAGGGGUCCAUCCCGGAUUACCAAUCUCAGAUAAACUCCGAAUGCCAACGAGAUAUAAUCGGCAGUCAGACUGCGAGUGCUAAGAUCCGUAGUCGAAAGGGAAACAGCCCAGACCACCAGCUAAGGUCCCAAAAUAUAUGUUAAGUGGAAAAGGAUGUGGGGUUGCACAGACAACUAGGAUGUUAGCUUAGAAGCAGCUAUUCAUUCAAAGAGUGCGUAAUAGCUCACUAGUCGAGUGACCCUGCGCCGAAAAUGUACCGGGGCUAAAACAUAUUACCGAAGCUGUGGAUACCUUUAUAGGUAUGGUAGGAGAGCGUUCUAUGUGCGAAGAAGGUGUACCGUGAGGAGUGCUGGAGCGCAUAGAAGUGAGAAUGCCGGUAUGAGUAGCGAAAGACAGGUGAGAAUCCUGUCCACCGUAAGACUAAGGUUUCCAGGGGAAGGCUCGUCCGCCCUGGGUUAGUCGGGACCUAAGGAGAGACCGAAAGGUGUAUCCGAUGGACAACAGGUUGAUAUUCCUGUACUAGAGUAUAUAGUGAUGGAGGGACGCAGUAGGCUAACUAAACCAGACGAUUGGAAGUGUCUGGCCAAGCAGUGAGGUGUGAUAUGAGUCAAAUGCUUAUAUCUAUAACAUUGAGCUGUGAUGGGGAGCGAAGUUUAGUAGCGAAGUUAGUGAUGUCACACUGCCGAGAAAAGCUUCUAGCGUUAAUUAUACUCUACCCGUACCGCAAACCGACACAGGUAGUCGAGGCGAGUAGCCUCAGGUGAGCGAGAGAACUCUCGUUAAGGAACUCGGCAAAAUGGCCCCGUAACUUCGGGAGAAGGGGCGCUGACUUAUGGUCAGCCGCAGUGAAUAGGCCCAAGCAACUGUUUAUCAAAAACACAGCUCUCUGCUAAAUCGUAAGAUGAUGUAUAGGGGGUGACGCCUGCCCGGUGCUGGAAGGUUAAGAGGAGUGCUUAGCGUAAGCGAAGGUAUGAAUUGAAGCCCCAGUAAACGGCGGCCGUAACUAUAACGGUCCUAAGGUAGCGAAAUUCCUUGUCGGGUAAGUUCCGACCCGCACGAAAGGCGUAAUGAUUUGGGCACUGUCUCAACGAGAGACUCGGUGAAAUUUUAGUACCUGUGAAGAUGCAGGUUACCCGCGACAGGACGGAAAGACCCCAUGGAGCUUUACUGCAGUUUGAUAUUGAGUAUCUGUACCACAUGUACAGGAUAGGUAGGAGCCUAUGACCUCGGGACGCCAGUUUCGAGUGAGGCGUUGUUGGGAUACUACCCUUGUGUUAUGGCUACUCUAACCCAGAUAGGUUAUCCCUAUCGGAGACAGUGUCUGACGGGCAGUUUGACUGGGGCGGUCGCCUCCUAAAAGGUAACGGAGGCGCCCAAAGGU